Molecule: ribosomal RNA, 292 nt
Filed under: uncultured bacterium
Lineage: Bacteria
Description: partial 16S ribosomal RNA
Rfam family: Bacterial small subunit ribosomal RNA
Source: RNAcentral
GUGCCAGCAGCCGCGGUAAGACAGAGGUUGCAAACGUUGUUCGGAAUUACUGGGCAUAAAGCGCACGUAGGCGGUUCGUUAAGUCAUGUGUGAAAUCCCUCGGCUCAACCGAGGAAUUGCGCCUGAUACUGGCGGGCUAGAGAUCGAUAGGGGUGAGUGGAACUCCAGGUGGAGCGGUGAAAUGCGUAGAUAUCUGGAGGAACACCGGUGGCGAAAGCGGCUCACUGGAUCGAUACUGACGCUGAGGUGCGAAAGCUAGGGUAGCAAACGGGAUUAGAUACCCCGGUAGUCC